CCCAUGUAUAAAAAAGCUACUUAAAAUAUAUCUUUAAACGAUUUUGGGCUAGAUACCUACUAGACAUCUUCGUAGACUUUUUAUUUAGGCCUCUAGUUACUGUUCAUUUGUGAUAAUUAAAUAGUCAAUUAUUUACAGUCAGUCAAUAGGCCUACAUGCACAGCAAUAUGUAAAAUGAGACGUUUUGAAGAAUAUAUACGUCUGUAUUUACAACAGAGAAAAAGAAGGGCAAUGUUCGUAUUAUAUAAAUUAAUACUAAUGUUGG
Non-coding RNA from Paramuricea clavata, 265 nucleotides. Lineage: Eukaryota; Metazoa; Cnidaria; Anthozoa; Malacalcyonacea; Plexauridae. The record is from the annotation of a GenBank genome assembly.